GCGACCCCAGGUCAGGCGGGACUCCCG
This 27-nucleotide ribosomal RNA is filed under the name Arrhenatherum palaestinum. Its description in RNAcentral is "26S ribosomal RNA". Lineage: Eukaryota; Viridiplantae; Streptophyta; Magnoliopsida; Poales; Poaceae. The record is from RNAcentral.